Molecule: long non-coding RNA, 924 nt
Filed under: Marmota monax (woodchuck)
Lineage: Eukaryota; Metazoa; Chordata; Mammalia; Rodentia; Sciuridae
Source: RNAcentral
UCCAGUUCUGUGGUGCACCCUUCCCUGCCUAACCCUUGCCCCCACGAGUGGGUGACAGGUGGGGGCAGACAACCCUGAGCUGAGGAACGGAGCUGCCAGGAACCUUGUUGGGGGAUGGAGAUGUGAGAGUGGCCCACCUAUGCAGAUACUCAUGGCACUGAAUCCCAGGCUUGUAGGAAUAGACUCAGCUUUAACUCCUGGGGCUGCCUGGUUUGUCCACAGAACUCCAAAGGCAAGAUGUAGGCACUGGCCCUAGUAACCCCAUGUCUCCCUCAUCAGGGGAACACCAACAGGUGCUGCAGGCCAUGGAGCACCAGGGCUCAAGCCCCUCCUUCAGUGCCUGCUCCCUGGCCCUGAGCCAGGCCCAGCUCACACCCCUGCUUCGAGCCCUCAAGCUACACACAACGCUCCGGGAGCUGCACCUGGCAGGGAAUCGGCUCGGGGAUGGAUGUGCCAGUGAGCUGCUGGCUGCUCUGAGCACCAUGCCCAGCCUGGUCCUCCUUGAUCUUUCGUCUAAUCACCUGGGCCAGGAAAGUCUACGCCAACUUGCCGGGGGCCCUCAAGGCCAGGCCACCUUGCAGGUAGAGCCUAGGGUGCAGCAGGCCAGCAACUCUAGUAACAGGUUGCAACAGCUGGGAGAACUGGCCAAUGCCCAGCCGGGAACAGGGAUCCUGCAAGGAGACUAGACCUGAGGGGACUGGGCCCAUGGAUGUCAAGGGGCUCAGUGCUCACCAUGUUUUCCACAGAACUUGGAAGAGCUGGACUUAAGCAUGAACCCUCUAGGAGACAGUUGUGGUCAGGCCCUGGCUUCCCUCCUGCGGGCCUGCCCCUUACUCAGCACUCUGCGCCUGAAGGCUUGUGGCUUUGGUCCCAGCCUCUUCCUGAGCCACCAGGCAGCCCUGGGCAGUGCCUUCCAAGGUGAGC